RNAcentral lists this small RNA (30 nucleotides) under Bombyx mori (domestic silkworm). RNAcentral's name for it is "ovarian small RNA-33756". The record is from RNAcentral. Lineage: Eukaryota; Metazoa; Arthropoda; Insecta; Lepidoptera; Bombycidae.
UGCCCUUCUUGCAGUCCGUUGUACGGGCCU